This 5705-nucleotide long non-coding RNA is filed under the name Homo sapiens (human). RNAcentral's name for it is "SYBU antisense RNA 1 (SYBU-AS1)". Lineage: Eukaryota; Metazoa; Chordata; Mammalia; Primates; Hominidae. The record is from RNAcentral.
GGGAACUUCGGAGGGCCCUCAGGCAUCCACUCUACCCGGGGGCCGCCAGCCGCACGCAGCCUCGGAUUCGCCCUGCACAUCUGCCGCCCAGCAGGUUUGAAGUGGGUGGCGUUGGAUGGAGUGACUGAGAAAAGCUGCGACAUCACAGAGAGACAAAAUAGAGAAAGUUUUCCCCUGGCCACCCCUCCUUGGCCUCCAGGUCUUAAGUCAGCCUACAGCUCCCCACAACUGCCUCGCCCGAGAGCUGCAGAGAUCCCUCUCGUACCGGAGCCCAGCCAAGCCAGUGCGUCAGGACCGACACAGCCUCUGGGUUCCGGGAUCUGAAAGGCUGCGAUGGAUUCUACUUGGAAGGGGUUGCAUCAGAAAGGCCUUCAGUGGUCAGCGCAGCUCCCUCCGGCUUGGAGAAGCCAGGCUGCUAUGUAGCCAGAGAACAGUCUUUUCCCCAGCGCUGCCCUGCAGCUGCCCGGCUCCAGGAAGUAGCUCCAGCACACUGCUAAGGGAAGAGCACUGGAAUUGAACUCAGAAAAACGAGUUCAAGCCAGCACUCCAAUCGGUCCCUUCAGCCUGAGUGCCUUUAUGCCUAAAGUUUUUGUUGUUGUUUCGUUUUUUGUUUUUUUUUUUUUCCGUUGCUGUUGAAACGGCAUCUCGUUCUGUGGCCCAGGCUGUAGUACAGUGGCGCGAUCAGGGCUCACUGCAACCUCUAACUCCUGGGAUCAAGGGAUCAUCCCGUCCAGGCCUCUCAAAGUGCUCGAAUUACAUGCGGAUGCCAUUGCAUGCGUGGCCUACGCCUACGGUUCUUGACCCUUCUGAACUUCAAAUUUACCCUUGUUAAAUUGAGGGAUAAUAAUAGUGAUACCUACCUCUAGGAUAGCUGUGAGGGUUAGGUGAGGAAAACAAACAGCUCUAUCCAGCUGAUUGAACAGAACUUUCCAAAGGGCAGCUAAGUCAGGUCCAGAUGAUCCAGUCAAUAUUUGUUGAUGCCUUUUACAUGACAGGCAGAAAAAGCAUUUGUGAUGCACACAAAUUUGUUUAAGAAAGCUCGAAAAUCUGUCCAACUGGGGACUUAGAAUAGGGUACAUCAGCUGGGCCAAGGGCCUUGAUUUAUUACAAUUGCUACCCUUAAAUCUUAUCUGGUGGUGGAAUUCACCAUGUAUAAUGACUUAUAUACCCUUUAUUCAGAAUUGGAGAAUAUUCCAAGCAGUGCGACACUCUGAUCCUUAUGCACCAGUGUCCUACAUAGGAGGACUGUGCUCCUCGAAAACUGAGGGUCAUUGUCCCCUUUCAUCCAUCCUCCAAACAGCAUUUCUGAGUCCUCAACUCUCAAGCCUAAGAAUAUAUGUUGUGAGUCUAGAGAGAGCCUGAAGCCAGAGGAUUAGUGGAAUCAAUUUCCCUUCUUCCUAUAACUCCAAAAGAGAGCUUCCUCCAUAAAUCUUCAUGCCUUUUCAAUCUACUUAGCUCUCUCAAGCAGUGAGGUUGGUAAUUUUAAGAUUCUUUAUUUGGGAAGAAGAGGUGAUUAAUUCAUACUUUCUACACCCACAGCUGUUUCAAAUAUGGACCUCAGGAAAGUGAUGGUCCAGGAUGAUUCAUACAACUUAUUAUUCCUAAAAUUAUGAGCCUGGGAUCAUAUACUGUGAGAUAAGAACAAACUUUUAAAGUUAAUGGAUGCUUCUGAGUUCCCUACUUAGAAUUGAGAAUUGACACUGGGGACCUAAUAGCAGAAACACCCUCCACUGAGUUAGCCAAGUCAGAACCUCAGUGUCAUCGUGGACUUUUUUCUCUCAUUCACCUGACCCACACAUAGCAUAAACCACCAAGUGAUCUCUAUGCCACCCAAGUAAUAACGGUCUUGAAUCUGAUUACUUCUGUCCACUAUUUGUCUCCAUUAUCUUCGUGUAGAGUGUAAACCACAGUCACCCUAGAUUAUUGCAAUAGUGGUCUAACUCAAGGUCUCUUGCUUUCAGCCUUGCCUCUUAUUCCUUUCUCUCCGAUCAGUGUCUCCAUUUUUCCACAAGCCUUUAUGAAAAGCUAAAUCAAGUCAUGCUUCUCCGUGAAAACUCAUUAAUGAUUUCCUGAUUGUCCUCCAGGUAAUACUGAAACUCCUUAAUGUGGCACACAAGGCUUUCCUGAUCUGGCCGCCUUGUUUACCUCUCCGAUCUCAUUUCUUGCCACUCCUCUCUUUUGUAGAUACUCCCUCCCCUCCCUAACCUGUCCCUUUGGUCCCUGCCACUCUUCCCUUACAUACAAAUGGAUACUGCUCAAACUGUAGCACUUUCAGUUCUCGGAGGUGGAGGUUUUGUAUUCUCUUUUUCGUCGAGACUGCUGCACCUGCCUCUGUUUAGAACAUUUCUUGCACUACAUCCACCUAUCCUCCUCAACUCUUAAAGAUACAUUGUUUCAUUUUAGACAGCUUCUUCCAGGAAACCUCCCCUGAUGAUUCCAGGACACUUAUUUUUACCCCCAAGAGAGCUGUUAUGAUCUCCUCAGAAUUCCCCAUUUACUUGUUUGUUUUCACCAAAGCUUGUAGGCAGUGCCUAGUACAAUUCCUGUUAUACAGUUGACACUCAAUACAUAACUGUCAAAUGAAUUAAUGCCUGAAUGAGUGAAUUCUAUAACCCCAUAAGGGGCCCAUCAGUGCAAGAUAAAGAACAUAGAUACAACUUGUUUUGAAAAUGAUUCAGAUAAAGCUGCCUCCACAAUGUAUUUGUAUCUGAUGAUUGGGUGUGUGCCUAAAAAAUCCAACAUGUGUUCAGUGACAGCUUUUACUGCAGAAGUGCAGGCACUGAGAGGCUGUGCAGUAGCCUUGCUGUCGCCAUAGCAACCUAGCAGAGGGAAAGGCUGAUGAUUUAGUGUUCAGAUGCCUCUUAGCUCUGUACUUUUGGAACCCAAGCCUGUUUUUCCACUGUUCUAAAAGGCAAGUUUUACCGAUGAUAAUAUCUAUGCCGCCUUAAUUUCAUUCAAGUGUUUCUCAUGUCAUUAGAAGAAAUGUCUUGUAACAUUUGGAUUAUACCAUCAAAGAGAUAUAAUCUAAUACAGCAUAAUAUGGUCUUCUUUCCCCUGCUUUAAAAUAGUCUUAUGCAUCAUUUUCAUUUUUUACUUAAAGACUUACUUUAUGGUCUUGUUUUAUCACCUUUUGGCUUCUUUAAAAAUUAAUGUAUUUCUGGCUUUUAGAAAAUAUCAAUUGCUUUAGGAUUUAACCUUGAAAUAUUAUAAAUAAUAUAUAAUAAUAUAUAUAUACAAUAAUAUAUAUAUAUAAUAUAUAUAUAUAUCUCCUGGCAAAGCACAGGAGAGAUAGGGUAUUGUAGACUGGGAAGGAAGGUAAUGUCUUUAUAUAAUUAUUCCCUCAAAUCUGGGAUAAGUUACUUGAUUGUUUAUGUGAAAUUUGUAAUUAAAUGAUUCCUACCUUUCGUAUGCACAAAACUUUAUAUUUUCAGAACUCUUUCACAUAUAUAAUUUUAUUUGAGCCUCACAAAAAUCCCGUGAGGUACAUGUGGCCAAUCUCUGAGACCAGAUAACUGAAAAAGCAUAGAUUUUUAUUAAUAGGAAUCCCCUAGACUGCAAACUUCACAGAGAAGACAAUACAAAUGCACUGCUGAAAAGAAAACGCCUGCACCAAACAACCCAGACACAUCACGGUCCCUCACAUUCACUCUUCCUCACAUCUCACCUGUGUAUGCAGGGGGUUUUCUUGGGCUCAAUCAGGGCUGACAAAGCACCAUCUCCUAAUCCUAUCAGCUGUGUGAGCAAGAGCUGCUGUCUCUCUCGGUGACCUAAUGUUGGGUGAUCUGCACAGCAACAAGGAGCAGCUGACGUGCUUCACAACACGUCACGAAGGAAAGAAACUGCAUUCUGGGGCAUCGUGAGAUUUUUUUGUGUGUGUGGUGGGGUGGGGUGGAGACCCAUAUUUUUCUUACCAGGGAGAGAGCUGCCUGUUUUCCCAUAAGAGCAUGUGUGAUUGAUCAACCCUCCUCCUUUUUUUUUUUUUUUUUUUUUUUUUUGGAGACAGAGUCUCACUCUGUCGCCAGGCUGGAGUGCAGUGUGGUGCGAUCUCAGGUCACUGCAACCUCCGCCUCCUGGGUUCAAGCUAUUCUCCUGCCUUAGCCUCCUGAGUAGCUGGGACUACAGGCGCGCACCACCACACCAGCUAAUUUUCGUUAUUUUAAGUAGAGAUGGGGGUUUCACCAUGUUGGCCAGGAUGGUCUCCAUCUCCUGACCUCGUGAUCUGCCCGCCUCGGCCUCCCAAAGUGCCAGGGUUACAGGCAUUAGCCACCGUGCCCAGCCCAACCCUUGUCUUAAUGUAUGUGUGUUAUCAUUACUAUAGGUUGAGGUACUUUGAUGCUGUAAAACUGAAAUGACUAGAAUUGCACAAGAUCACUCCCCCAGGAGGUGGCAUAGAGGUGCUUGGGGCAGAGAGGGCAGUGGGUAACCUGAGGCAGGCCAUGCUUGAACAUUCACUGGGCUCAGAAUGUGUCAAUUAUCUCUGCCCGACAAACGAGUGUUCAGUCAGAGUAUUCUCUCAGUGAAUAACAGAAAUUAAGGGCAAGUCCAGGGGAAGAGGCAGAGGUUGGGGGCUUGGAACGUUGAAGGAUGGUAAGGGUCUAAUCCUCUGAUGCCUUAUGGGAGAGCAGACAUGAGAUAGCCUCCCCCAAAAUGGCUUUUUGUUUGUGGCCUUUGGUUCAUCUUUGAAAAUAGGGUAGGAUAUUUGUCAAAAACAUAGGCACGGUGAUUGCAUUAAACAAAAUGGGGACACAUUGUUGGACAAGUAGGUGUACACUUAUUAGGAAAAUGAAUCAGAAUGAUUGAAAUUAAGACGCUCUGGAAAGUAUGCGUGUAAAGGUUGCCAUCUAAGUAGGGGAAACUGAGACUUGACAUUUACCUAGUGAAAUGCUUCAUGUGAUUAGACAAUCUGUUGGUCUCACAGGUGUACAGAAAAGGCAAAGGAUGUUAUCUGUAAGACAUGAAAAGGAAAGCCUAAAUCCAGUAGAUGAAUUCUGGGGCUAAUAGAGAAGCACCUUCCUUCCCCAAGAAACCAGAAAGUGUGGGAAAAGCAGCUGAAAGUUGCCUGAACCCAGGAGGGCAGCUAUAGAGAGAGGAUGCUUCUCAGACAUGCCAGACACAGAGCAGAUACACAGGCUGGAGGCUCUGAGGGGUUCACUCAGCAUCCAUAGCAGUCUAGGCUUAGAAAAAAAAUUGUAAUCUGGGUUCCUGGAAAGCAGAACAAUGGUAGAUUUGAGUUACAUUAAAAACAAUAUGUUCUCCAUAAUGCACUUUAUUUCCAUGAUUUUAUAUUUUUUGCUUCCACUUUCUAGUAAACAUCUUAAAAAAUAACUUUGUCUUUAUUUCUGCUGAGAAAAUGAGAGCAGGUGCAAAAGAGGAAGACUUUGAGUGUCUCUUCUCAAAGAGCAAGAACACUAUUGCCAAAUGGAGCUGAGCACCCCCAGAGGCCAACCAACUACUAUGAUGGCAGCUACAGCAGGGAAUGGUUGGGCUGUUGGUGUGGGGGUCACUGGUGCAGUUGUAGAGCUGAGGAUAGUUUUGAUUGCUGCUUUAUUCCCACUUCCUAGGUUAUUCCUGUGAACCACUGUCCUUUAUACCUGAAAUCUUGUGACCUUGUGAGUAAAGCUAGCCUUUGCUGUGUACUCCCAGCUCCUCUCUAACGCACUGCAGAAGAAUUUGUAGGAAAAUAAAACUAGAAUUUGGGAAUCUGG